AACGGCGAGUGAAGAGGGAAGAGCCCAAGAUUGAAAGCUGGCGCCUUCGGCGUCCGCAUUGUAAUCUCAAGAAGUGUUUUCCGCUUCGGACCAUGCCUAAGUCCCUUGGAAAAGGGCAUCAUAGAGGGUGAUAAUCCCGUACAUGGCAUGGAGCGCCCGAAGCUUUGUGAUACGCUUUCUAAGAGUCGAGUUGUUUGGGAAUGCAGCUCAAAAUGGGUGGUAAAUGCCAUCUAAGGCUAAAUAUUGGGGAGAGACCGAUAGCGAACAAGUACAGUGAUGGAAAGAUGAAAAGAACUUUGAAAAGAGAGUUAAACAGUACGUGAAAUUGCCAAAAGGGAAGGGUAGGAGGUCAGAGAUGCGUCGCAGGAUUCAGCCUUGCUUUUGCUUGGUGUUUUUCCUGCGUUGCAGGCCAACGUCGGUUUUGGGCACUGGAGAAGGGUAGGAGGAACGUGGCACCUCUCGGGGUGUGUUAUAGCCUCCUACUGGAUACAGCGACCGAGACCGAGGAACGCAGCGUACUCGUAAGAGCGGGCCUUUUGGCACCUUUACGCUUAGGGCGUUGGCAUAAUGGCCCUCUACCACCCGUCUUGAAA
RNAcentral lists this ribosomal RNA (593 nucleotides) under Pseudozyma hubeiensis. Its description in RNAcentral is "partial large subunit ribosomal RNA". It matches the Rfam family "Eukaryotic large subunit ribosomal RNA", at positions 85 to 659 of the family's 3401-position model. Lineage: Eukaryota; Fungi; Basidiomycota; Ustilaginomycetes; Ustilaginales; Ustilaginaceae. The record is from RNAcentral.